RNAcentral lists this long non-coding RNA (414 nucleotides) under Triticum aestivum (bread wheat). RNAcentral's name for it is "long non-coding RNA (TAES_LNC001497)". The record is from RNAcentral. Lineage: Eukaryota; Viridiplantae; Streptophyta; Magnoliopsida; Poales; Poaceae.
UUUGCUUGUUUUUUGUUAAGCUGCCCUUUUAGGUCAGAAGAUAGAUGAGGUGAGAUCUUCAGAGCCAAUAUUGUUUUUCACAUAUAUGUUCUAAGCAAACAACUAAAAGAAGGGCAUACUAUGGUUGACAAAUGAUUCCAUGGCCUAUUUGUAGAUUCGUGGUGGUGUUGUACACAAAUUCAGGUCGCUGUGCAUAUGUAGCAAAGUGUUCAGUCAAACACGUCUACCAUUCUUGUUUGUCCUGGAACCAUUUAUAAAUGUGUGCUCAAGCUAUAGUAUAUAUGUUUUUUCGAUUCAUUGCUGCCAUUUAUCUUCUCAUAUAAGUUUGGUGUGCCUAAUAUACUGUCACACAAUGAGAAAUGUUGAAUCCUUGGAAGAAAGGUAGCAUAAUAUAUUAUUUUUUGUCUUCCACAG